CAAAUCUUUAUCUCUUUCACGACAAAAAAAUUGUACCAGCUCAUAUGCUACAGCCGCAUCCUUCCAUAGAAAUAAAAGAAAAAAAUCCAUGCGUCUUUCCUUUGGCCCCGAGCAGCCGCGCCGCCGGAACUUGCGAACCCCGCCGCCACCUCGACUCUUCCGUGUCCGGUGCGACGCCGGCACAUCCAUCGCAUGCCGGCGAGCUCCCCAUCGAGCAGUAGUUGCCGCGCUGCCGGAACUUGCGAACCCCGCCGCCACCUCGACUCUUCCGCGUCCGGUGCGACGCCGGCGCAUCCGUCGCAUGCCGGCGAGCUCCCCAUCGAGAACUAGCUGACGCGCCGCCCUCCUACUUUGCCUUUUUCCCAUCCUUCCCUGCACUUCUCUCACCUCUCUCUGCCUCGCAUCCACAGGGACCCCGGGACGCCGCCGGCGCGCGGAAAGACGCCGCCCCAACUGGAUCGAUGCCUUGCUCCAUCGCCUGCUCUCCUACCAUCCGUCCUCACCCCGUCGCCACCUCGACUCUUCCGCAUCCGGUGCGACACCGGCGCAUCCCUCGCAUGCCGGGACCCGAGACGCCGCUGGCACGCGGAACGACGACGCCCCAGCUGGAUCGAGGCCCUGCUCCAUCGCAUGCUCUCCCGCCGUCCGUCCUCAUCUCGAAUCGAUCAUGCCGGCAGCCGUCGUUGCCAGAUCCUAGCUUGGCCGCCUGCUGAAAGAUACCGCGCCUUUGCUCCUCUCACCGUCGAGGGAGGUUGGAAUGACGGAGCCGUGCAUGUGUUGGCACCCAUGUGGUGCGUGCUGAGCCACCGCCUUGCGUAGCGGCUAUAGUCCUACGGCGCGCCCUGCCUCGAGCAGCACACAUGGGUGGCGGCUGAGACGUCUGAGGAGCUUCAGCAGGAGGUGGUGAUCCAGUGGCACUCCUUCCAGUACAACACUAACCUAUGCAAAGUGGCCCUUUAUUUCCCCUGCCCAGCUCCAAUCUUUGAUCCGUCCAUGCUUGAGGUAAUGUGUACAGAGAACGAGGCUGCCGAGCCAAAUUUGUUGAAUGAGGCUGUGAAGUUCGAGGUAAUAUUGCUGCUACCUUCGUUUUGUUUUUUGGUGAUGGUCACCUCUGUAUCAACUCAGCAGGUAGUAUCUAUCUGUUAGUGCUAUUUCUGCAAUUUUGUAAGCCAGAUUUGUGCCAAGUGCAUUGCAUAAUAUAUCUCUAAUAGGUCCAUUGCUAUUUCUGAGAUCUUCCAUCAAUGUUUAUUACAACAGAAAAAUGGUCCUUAUCACAUAUAUAGUAUGCACUGGCAACUUAUAUAUACGAUGGUUGAUAACAAUUACUUCAGGGUAUCCAUUCUGCUAUAUUUUAGAUACUCAACAAAAUUUGUGACAUCUAAUCUGGUAGAGAAAAUAGUUUGAUACAUUAUUUUUUUCUUUUGCGAAUUCAGUCCAAGAUAUUCUUUUCUUACCUACAGAUAAUUUCGUAUAGAUGACUUAGCAUUCAACAUGAUUUAGUUUCUAGCCUGUAUAGAUUAGUCUUAUUAUGAGCUACCUAUAAUUUUUUUAGGCUUUUAGUUUUAGUUAUGGUGAUGGACUGUGCACAUGAUUCACAGAAUAAAGAACUGCAUCAAGCAUUAAUUUUUACAUGCGUGAAGCAUUUUACAAUAAAUUUCCUAUUAUUCAUCAGCUAGCUGAAUGAACGGAGACUGUACGACAAGGCGAACAAGCACACUAAAUAUCAUGAGUCAUAGUAAUUCCUAGCUAUUUUUACAAAUGCAUUUCACUGGAAGUUUCCUGUUGAUUAUAAUAAUGUUCACCAUAGAUAUCUAAAGUUUGUGGUUCAAUUUAUGAACUGCAUUGGUCUAGAUACUAUUGCUGGAAGUUGACGUUGACACCCAGUAAGAUCCUCCUGGAGCUGCCUUCUCUGAGCAUAUCUCUAAUCAAGCAUCUACUGAUUCACAUCGUAAAUGUUAAAUUUGUGAUAGGCUUACUAUAGACAAAUGUUUCUGAAUCUUAUGGUAUAUCAGAUGUUACAGAGUAAAUUAUCAAUUUACUCUACAUGAUACAUUAAUCUUUUUUGUUUUUGUUUCUAUUCUAUUUAUGGUGGAAAAAUGGUUUCUUCACCAUUUUGUUGAUGUUAAAUUAAAACAUUUUUGUAUGCCUAUCGAAUAUAUGUUAGUUCAACCGAUAUUCCAAAUUACAUUUUUAUAUUGUGCUGCUUACUAUAGUUUUUUCCUCCAAGGAAACAACACCAAGGCACCCCAUGAGUAUUUGUCAGUUCAACUGAUAUUCCACUUUUGCAUAUUGUAGUACUUCCAUAGUUAUUUCAUCUCAGGAAACAACACCAAGGCAAUAUAUUUUUACCCUAUUUAUAACAGCCUAAUUAUUUCCAACAAUAGAGAUUCAGGCUAUCUUAUUAAAUGUUCCUUUUUGCACCCUGUUGAUCAGCUACAUAAUAUCCUUCUGAUAUAUGACUAAUUUGAAAGAGAAACAAAAAACUUUUCCUAAACUAUGAAAGACAUCAUUAUUCUGAUUAAAAUCCUUCUCAUAGGUGCCGCCAUGGCACCAUCCAUGAGAGUAUUAAGGAUCCCGAGGGAAAGAGUUGCGAUGGGCCGAUGGCGCAUCUAUUCACACCAUGGACAUUCAUUGCCUACUACUCAUGCGACCACUCUGAAGGUAAGGAAGUGUGUAUCUUAAGUUCCAUGCUGCAGUUAGCAUUUAAUCAUAUUAAUAUUAUCUCUGAUAUCCUGGACACAACAUAGAUUUUACAAGCAAAACUUCAUCAAGCUAGAUUUGUUGCAUGUGCACUGGAUGUUGAUGUUAUUGGGCUGGACUAAUUUUGUGUUUUCCCAUCAUGUUGAAAGUUGUCCCUGAUGUGCGUACAUUAUUCGCUAUCAUGGAGACGACAAAUAGCUGAUGUUUGGUAAUAGUUACUUCAUGGUAUGCUGCAUAUUCCUCUAAAUUUGUGAGAUUUGAGAUAGUAGAAACAACACAUCGUGAUCUACUGGCCUUGCCUGAUGCUUCGUUAUCUGAGGACCAUGGAGUAAAAUGGAUCUAAUUUCCAGUCUAUGUAUGAUUAUUAGUCAUUUGAUGCGGAAAGUUUUAGGAUUUCAUUAUAUGUUUAGUACGGUCUUACAGUUUAUGCAUGCGAAUUAACAGAAAUAAAUUGCACGGACUAUUCUUUUUCUCAUAAAUGUGAAGCAUGUACAACUAUUUUUCUAUUGCAAAAAAACAUUCCUUCCCCCAAGCGAGCCAGCACACAAAUAAGAGUGAAUCCAAGCUUUUUUCAGAACUGAGUUAGUUAUGUUAUCCCUACGAAUAUCUUAGGUUUUAAGUGUCAAUCUUCAAAUUCUCUGCUUUAUUAAUUUACUUUUUAUAAAUACUACGAAGACUAAAAUUUAAAGAAUUAAACCAAUAAGUGUAUUUAGUGAAGUCAGAGGUCUGUUUGGAAUAUUCUUAGUGCAAGUCUCUCAUGAAAGGAGGGAUGUCGUUUUUUCAUGGCUGAAUGGUGCUUUAUGAGGCAACAGUCCUAAUAUCAAUCAAAGUUGAAGCCUCUGUCUAAUCUCCUUUUGCUGUAAAAUAUUAUUUUGUAGUAUUCUUAACGUAAUUAAUGUUCACUUCUAUUAUGCUACCCUUUUAUGCACACCAUGUUUCUAAAUGCAAUAGCCCACUACGAAACAGUUAACUAUACAUCAAUUUCUAUCGAAGUUAGAAGGAAGUUCCUGCUAUUUGUAAUUUUAUACACCAUACACGUAUGAAGUUUCUUAUAUCUUAUUUAACUCUUCUAUAGAUGCUGUUCCAAAAGGUUGUAGCUGAUACCCAAAAAGCUCCUCAGUAGAUAUGAUCCUCUCCAGCACAUCACUUGGUGGAUCUAGAGGGGCAACCAUCAGCUUAUGAAAAAGGGAAAAUAAAUUGCCUGCUAUUGUUCCUUACCAAGAGUAAUUUCCCCAGUGCCUAACUUACAAUUUGAUUUGUUGCAUCAUGAUAAGAUCUCCAUGAUGUGCAUAUGCAUGAUUAUUUUUACAUUGAAUUCGUUUUCCUAUAUAUUUUACAUGCAUGCGUUCACAUAUUAGAGGACAAAUAUGUUGCAGGCUCUUAUCUACAUGCAUGAAUGUGAACUCUGUAUCCAAUGGUAAAGCGGGCUUUAUCAGGUGACAUGGGCGGGACCUUUCCACAUAUAUACUUCAUUAGUUAUCACAGUAUAUAUUUUGCCAGCAUCUUUGUAUUAUUGAUGAACGGUAUAUUUCUAUUCUAAAUUCUUGACUUCAUCAAAUUUAUAUUGUAGGAAAAAGGAUCAUGGAAUAGCAUGUGACGUGUGUAUUAUUGUUAGCAUCUACCUAUUUUGAUGCAUUGUAUUUGCAAUUUGCAUACAUAUACCAAGUUUUUCGUCAAAUAUAUAUGUUGCAGGAGACUGGAUGAUCGAGUAGCACUCAAGAUGGCAAGGUGGUUGAGAUUUAGGAACCGUUGUAUCUUGAGGACUCAUGAUGCAGUCGUACGUCGAUACAUAUAGAUUUAUGACUAUUGCCAUAUAGUCCAUUGUAUCUAUCUAUCUAUCUACCUACCUACCUACCUACCUACCUACCUACCUAUCACCUCUUAACUUCAGCAUAUUUACCUUGAGUAAUUAUGGUUUAAUACAGGUUUUUUCUCUAUUAGUGAUUUAAUUUUUUAUUGGUUUA
Triticum aestivum (bread wheat) is the source of this 4664-nucleotide long non-coding RNA. RefSeq lists it as uncharacterized. The record is from RefSeq and is a predicted model, not a curated record. The transcript has 2 exons. Lineage: Eukaryota; Viridiplantae; Streptophyta; Magnoliopsida; Poales; Poaceae.